CCUACGGGCGGCAGCAGUGAGGAAUAUUGGUCAAUGGAGGAGACUCUGAACCAGCCAAGUAGCGUGAAGGAUGACGGCCCUAUGGGUUGUAAACUGCUUUUAUACGGGGAUAAAAUGUCCCACGUGUGGGAUAUUGUAUGUACCAUAUGAAUAAGGAUCGGCUAACUCCGUGCCAGCAGCCGCGGUAAUACGGAGGGUCCGAGCGUUAUCCGGAUUUAUUGGGUUUAAAGGGUGCGCAGGCGGCCUGUUAAGUCAGCGGUAAAAGCCCGGGGCUCAACCCCGGCGGGCCGUUGAAACUGGGGGGCUUGAGUUGUCCAGAGGUAUGCGGAAUGCGCAGUGUAGCGGUGAAAUGCUUAGAUAUUGCGCAGAACUCCGAUUGCGAAGGCAGCAUACCGUCGGCGUUCUGACGCUGAGGCACGAAAGCGUGGGUAUCGAACAGGAUUAGAUACCCGUGUAGUC
RNAcentral lists this ribosomal RNA (459 nucleotides) under uncultured bacterium. RNAcentral describes it as "partial 16S ribosomal RNA". It matches the Rfam family "Bacterial small subunit ribosomal RNA", at positions 338 to 795 of the family's 1533-position model. The record is from RNAcentral.